AGGGAAUGGAAUUCGUCAUUUCAUUUUAACACGUCCGGACUUCCCUCAUACCAUUCCUCUACUCUAAAUCUACCUUGCCAGAAGACAAAAACCUCUGCCGCGCCGGAAAUCAUCAUCAGCGGCGACGGAGAUCCAAAAUUCACGUAACUUGUACCCACAGAUUCGUCUCAUUCUCCUCUACCUGACUCUACCUAUCUCCUACUCCAAUUUCUUCUUUAUUGACCGAACCGAAAAGAUCAUUCUAAGAACUCUAGGUAUAAACUUCGAUUAAGUCCUCGUAUAGAGGUAAUCAAAUCCACAAGUUUGGGAUAAACGCUCACCUAAUCAAGGCCUAUACAACAGUGAAAAACGCGAGUCAAAUAGGAGAAUUCUCACGAACCCUUCGACGUCGACGACGGAGCAUACGGGGCAUUUGGAUAUCGAUCCGGUACAAUACGAUUGGUAGAUCACAGAGAUUACUGAAGCAACGUACACCUCAGAGUAAAUAUUGAAUUCCGGUUUGGACGGAAGUAGCCAACGGAGUCGUCGGAGAAGACGAACGACGCAACGGUGGCGUCAACAAACGCGGCUCUCAGAAUUUUGGUGUUGCCACUUCUCUUCGCCGACGUUUGUAGUUGGCUUGUGCGUUUGCAUCGUGUGGCUUUGUUCGUUGUCGUCGGAUUGUUUUGGCUUCGUCCCAUUGUAUGUUUACUGCACCUGCGUUUUGUUACCGUCGGAUUCACAUCGCCGUUUUCCGCAUUUCCAGUUGUUACUUCAUGUUGGUGUGCUCCUUUUGGUUGUGCAGCUUGUAGCUUGUAGUUUGGAUGUUGUUAUUGUUACGUUUCCGUGAAUGCUGUUUUCUGCUGAACAAAGUUCUUCCAAUUGUAUUUUUCCUUAUUUUAUUUGGAUAUGUUAUGGACUUGGGUAUUGUAUAUUGGUAAUUAAAUUUGGAUAAGCCAAAUGGAUUUUGGGUAGAUAUUAUGUGGAUAUGGAUUAGGUGGUGGAUAAUUGUAAAAUGGAUAUUUGAAACAAAAUUGGGUAAUUGGAUAUUAAGUGGAUUUGAAAUUGGAUUUGCACAUGGGCUUAAAAAAAAGAAAGAAUGGGCUUAUGAAGAUUUUACAAAAAAAGAUGAAUGGAUGUAUGUAUUAAUGCAAUAAGAAACCAGUAACCAAGAAUCAAAUGGUUGAUCAAGAAUGGACCUGGAUCCAAGAGUGCAAUGAGGUACGAAACCCAAUGAGCACCUGGUUAACGAAAUACGUGGCGAACCCUGAUUAUCAAAGCAUGAUCAUGCUUGAUCAAAUGCUUAAAAACAAGUAAUUUACCAUAAAAGUGAAAUCUUUCACCAAUGUCACAAACCAAGAGAUUAAGGUUUGAUCAAUUGAUCCACUUCAAGUUGUUGAUGAAUCCUAGUAUCCACCAGGUGCAGACAUAAAGCCACCGAUUCAAGUCACCUAUCUCCUUGUGUUGAACCAUGCUUAUGCAAAUGAAAUGAAUGCUCAGGAUGAUAUGCAAAUGAUUAGGGUUAAUGACCUAGAUGAUUAUUGUGAAGGAUAGGGUGAAUUUUGGGGUAUGACAGUUACGAACUCCCGAUUUUCAGGUUUCAACAAUCUUUCCUAACAACAAGUGACUUUGACGAAUGGUGGAAUUCCUACCAACAUCAUUCUUUCCCAAGUGACCAGUUUCUCCAAAACAUGGUCGACGCGCUUUCCACUCUCGUCGGCGAUAUACCGCCUCCGCCUCCAUCCGUUAACACUCCUGACCCAAAAAUCCAAAAUCCUCAAAUCAACGAAGCCUCCAAAAAGGUACAUAUUACUGAUUUAGUUUCCUCUUUUCUUGGGGUUGUACAACACUAACAGUUUCUGCUAUCAAGGUCGAAAGAGGGUCGUCCCCUCUAAUGAGCCGACUCUAGCGAAGCCCUCGAAGAAACAACGAACGCCUUUGACCCGCACUUCGCAGGUACCUGACGAAGUACUUGUAGUGGACGAUGAGGACUCUGACGGGAGUGUGCACUCACACAUUUUUUCUACGUCGAAAGCCCCGCCCAAAACUCCUCCUACCCCUGUAUGACGGAAGAAGGCUUAAGCCAAGAAGAAUCCGACAAAGGUGGCUCCAA
Molecule: long non-coding RNA, 2092 nt
Organism: Lathyrus oleraceus (garden pea)
Lineage: Eukaryota; Viridiplantae; Streptophyta; Magnoliopsida; Fabales; Fabaceae
Exons: 4
Source: RefSeq, a predicted model, not a curated record